This 434-nucleotide ribosomal RNA is filed under the name uncultured bacterium. RNAcentral's name for it is "partial 16S ribosomal RNA". It matches the Rfam family "Bacterial small subunit ribosomal RNA", at positions 29 to 506 of the family's 1533-position model. The record is from RNAcentral.
AACGAACGCUGGCGGCAUGCCUAACACAUGCAAGUCGAACGAUUGCCUUCGGGUGAUAGUGGCGCACGGGUGCGUAACGCGUGGGAAUCUGCCCUUAGGUUCGGAAUAACAGCUGGAAACGGCUGCUAAUACCGGAUGAUAUCGCGAGAUCAAAGAUUUAUCGCCUGAGGAUGAGCCCGCGUUGGAUUAGGUAGUUGGUGGGGUAAAGGCCUACCAAGCCGACGAUCCAUAGCUGGUCUGAGAGGAUGAUCAGCCACACUGGGACUGAGACACGGCCCAGACUCCUACGGGAGGCAGCAGUGGGGAAUAUUGGACAAUGGGCGCAAGCCUGAUCCAGCAAGGCCGCGGGAGUGAUGAAGGCCCUAGGGUGGUAAAGCUCUUUUACCCGGGAAGAUAAUGACUGUACCGGGAGAAUAAGCCCCGGCUAACUCCGU